Molecule: unclassified non-coding RNA, 236 nt
Filed under: uncultured Mortierella
Lineage: Eukaryota; Fungi; Mortierellomycota; Mortierellomycetes; Mortierellales; Mortierellaceae
Description: sequence contains ITS2
Source: RNAcentral
AAACACCCUCAAUUCUCUCGUUUUUCGAGGAAAUUGGACUUGAGCGAUCCCAACGGCGGUUUAAAAACCCGCUGGCGGGUCGCUUGAAAUGCAGGUGCGGCUGGACACAUCUUCUGAGCUAUAAGCAUUACUUAUUUAGUCCCGUCAAACGGAUUAUUUCUAUUGCUGCAGCUAACAUAAAGGUUGAUUGUCCUGUGCCCGACUGAUGCAGGAAAACAAAGAGAAAUCUUUGUUCA